RNAcentral lists this ribosomal RNA (902 nucleotides) under Weissella cibaria. Its description in RNAcentral is "bacterial SSU rRNA". It matches the Rfam family "Bacterial small subunit ribosomal RNA", at positions 1 to 859 of the family's 1533-position model. The record is from RNAcentral. Lineage: Bacteria; Bacillati; Bacillota; Bacilli; Lactobacillales; Lactobacillaceae.
CUCCAGAUUUUUGUUUCUGCUCAGGAUGAACGCUGGCGGCGUGCGUAAUACAUGCAAGUCGAACGCUUUGUGGUUCAACUGAUUUGAAGAGCUUGCUCAGAUAUGACGAUGGACAUUGCAAAGAGUGGCGAACGGGUGAGUAACACGUGGGAAACCUACCUCUUAGCAGGGGAUAACAUUUGGAAACAGAUGCUAAUACCGUAUAACAAUAGCAACCGCAUGGUUGCUACUUAAAAGAUGGUUCUGCUAUCACUAAGAGAUGGUCCCGCGGUGCAUUAGUUAGUUGGUGAGGUAAUGGCUCACCAAGACGAUGAUGCAUAGCCGAGUUGAGAGACUGAUCGGCCACAAUGGGACUGAGACACGGCCCAUACUCCUACGGGAGGCAGCAGUAGGGAAUCUUCCACAAUGGGCGAAAGCCUGAUGGAGCAACGCCGCGUGUGUGAUGAAGGGUUUCGGCUCGUAAAACACUGUUGUAAGAGAAGAAUGACAUUGAGAGUAACUGUUCAAUGUGUGACGGUAUCUUACCAGAAAGGAACGGCUAAAUACGUGCCAGCAGCCGCGGUAAUACGUAUGUUCCAAGCGUUAUCCGGAUUUAUUGGGCGUAAAGCGAGCGCAGACGGUUAUUUAAGUCUGAAGUGAAAGCCCUCAGCUCAACUGAGGAAUUGCUUUGGAAACUGGAUGACUUGAGUGCAGUAGAGGAAAGUGGAACUCCAUGUGUAGCGGUGAAAUGCGUAGAUAUAUGGAAGAACACCAGUGGCGAAGGCGGCUUUCUGGACUGUAACUGACGUUGAGGCUCGAAAGUGUGGGUAGCAAACAGGAUUAGAUACCCUGGUAGUCCACACCGUAAACGAUGAGUGCUAGGUGUUUGAGGGUUUCCGCCCUUAAGUGCCGCAGCUAACGCA